UACGUAGGGUGCAAGCGUUGUCCGGAAUCACUGGGCGUAAAGCGCGCGCAGGCGGUCUUUCACGUCCGGGGUGAAAGCCCAGAGCUCAACUCUGGGAUUGCCUUGGAUACGGGGAGACUUGAGGAUCGGAGAGGCAAGGGGAAUUCCACGUGUAGCGGUGAAAUGCGUAGAGAUGUGGAGGAACACCUGUGGCGAAGGCGGCGACCUGGGUAGAUACUGACGCUGAGGUGCGAAAGCGUGGGGAGCAAACAGG
This 253-nucleotide ribosomal RNA is filed under the name uncultured bacterium. Its description in RNAcentral is "partial 16S ribosomal RNA". It matches the Rfam family "Bacterial small subunit ribosomal RNA", at positions 524 to 776 of the family's 1533-position model. The record is from RNAcentral.